AUAAUUAAUAUUAAUUAAAAUUAAAUAAUUAAUAAAUUUAAGUUUUUUAUUUUAAAAAAUAAAAUUAUUAUUUUUAUAGUAAAUUAGUAUUGUAGAAGAAUUAAUUAAAUUUUUAUAAGAAAUUUUAUAUUAAUGUACCUUGUGUAUCAGGGUUUAUUAAAAUUAAUAAAAUAUUUUAUAGUCCCGAUUUUAAAAGAGCUAAUUUUAUAAGUUAUUUAUUGUAGAAUAAAUAUUUUUUAUAUAAAUAUAGAAGUUAGACGUUAGACGAGUUUAAAUAUAUCUGGUUAUUAAAGAAAUAAAUUUAAUUUAACUAUAAGUAAAGAUAUAAAUAUAUAUUUAUAUAUUAAAUUCUUACUUAUAAUAAAAAUUUUAGGGGAUAAGCUUUAAAAUUUAUUUAUAAAAAUAGAGGUUUAUUUAAUAAUUAUAUUGAAUUAGAAUUUUUUAUUUUAAUAUGUUAUAAUUAAUUUAUUAUAAAAAUAUUAUUUAUUAAGUUUUAUAUAUUUAUUUAAUUGAUUUAUGAAAUUAUUUAUUAGAUGAAAUUAUGAUAAAAUUAGUAUAAAAAUUUAUAUAGAUAAUUUGUUUUGUUAGAUUUUAUAAAGGAAUUUGGCAAUAUAAUUUUUCGCCUGUUUAUUAAAAACAUGUCUUUUUGAUUAUAAUUUAAAGUCUAAUCUGCCCAUUGAGAUUUUAAAAGGCCGCAGUAUUUUGACUGUGCAAAGGUAGCAUAAUAAUUAGUUUUUUAAUUGAAAGCUAGAAUGAAGGAUUGGACGAGAAAAUUACUGUCUCUAUAAAAUUAAUUUUAAACUUUAUUUUUAAGUUAAAAAGCUUAAAUUGUAUUAAUAGACGAGAAGACCCUUUAGAAUUUUAUAUAAUUAGUUAAUUUAAAUUUUAGUAUAUUUAUUUGAUUUAUUAAAUUAUAUUUAGUUGGGGUGAUUGAAAAAUUUAAUAAACUUUUUUUUUUAUUUCUACAUUAAUUUUUGAUUUUUUGAUCCUUAUUAAAGAUUAAAAGAAUAAAUUACCUAAGGGAUAACAGCGUAAUAUUUUUGGAAAGUUCAAAUUGAUAAAAAUGAUUGCGACCUCGAUGUUGGAUUAAAUUUAAUUAUUAGUGUAGAAGCUAAUAAGGGUAGUCUGUUCGACUAUUAAAAAUUUACAUGAUCUGAGUUUAGACCGGUGUAAGCCAGGUCGGUUUCUAUCUUUAAUAAGAAAAAAUUUUUUAGUACGAAAGGACCAAAUAUU
Molecule: ribosomal RNA, 1233 nt
Filed under: Staphylinoidea sp. 15 KM-2017
Lineage: Eukaryota; Metazoa; Arthropoda; Insecta; Coleoptera
Description: 16S ribosomal RNA
Rfam family: Archaeal large subunit ribosomal RNA (bases 1023-1181)
Source: RNAcentral